UGGCAGGAUCAACCAGGUAACAUUCCUCUUCGACAAGGCCGUUUGCACACCAACAGGUCGACGUGCGAACGGCAGUCGUUUAAGAGUAGCGAAAACGCUUGAUAUGGAAUACACAAGGCCGUAAGAGCCAGGCACCCGAUUAAGGUUCUGCAUCCACGAGACCAAGCGACGCUCUGCGAGCCAUUUGGCCAACGCAAAUACAUUGGCAAGAUGGAGCACAAAGACCGCUUCGAGGUUCAUCCGACGUCGUGUGGACGACACAAGACGAAAAAGGGACAUUGGUAUCACAAAGAAAUUCCGUCAACUAGGUAUGCAACACAGGAAACCCGUCAUAUGCGCAAGGCAAGAACCAUACGCAUAACUGAAAAGGCAUGCCCGGGUGGACGUCGCUGCGCAAGCAGAAGUCCAACCACCCGUAACACGCCAAACACCACUCACGCACCUUUACGGUCGACAUUCCCUAGAGUCGCCCAAACAUUCCUACCACCCGCCAGGCACGAAUGCCUAACAAGCAACAGGAGGCCCAAAGCUACCCCCAGAAUGC
Molecule: unclassified non-coding RNA, 544 nt
Filed under: Doniophyton anomalum
Lineage: Eukaryota; Viridiplantae; Streptophyta; Magnoliopsida; Asterales; Asteraceae
Description: partial external transcribed spacer
Source: RNAcentral